CCAAUAAAGUUGUAUUUUAGUAAACAGAGGAUAUCAUCUAUUUAUUUAUUCGUGGUUUGGGUGGGGAGGCAACUGGAAAUUGUUGUAAAAUAAACAAACUAGUACAAAAAAAUGAGCUUCAAAGCCUCUUUUUGUGUUUUUAUGGUCAUCGCUGUGUUUCUUUUUCAAGCAGGUGAUGCAGUCCCAUUUCUCAAUGAAUCUCCUCAACAAGUAGCCAAAAUCCCAAGUAAAUGGGAUCCCAAGGAAAGCAAGACUCACGCAGGAGGGAGUAUUUCACCUCGUGGCCCUGCUUGUUAUGUAUCAUGUGGUUGAAUUAGACGGGUGGACUGUGGAAAAUAAUAUAUCUUAUAAUAUUAAUUAAUAUAUUACUUUUUAAAGUGAAGAAAGUUUUGUGUUUUGGAUUAUUAUUAUUGGUUGUGAUAUUAGAUUUUACUUAAUUGAUACUUAUUCUUAAUCAUCGCUUGAUAUGUAAUAUUGGUUAUCAAAAUAUACUCUAAGACUGGUUUGAGAUCUAAUUCAAAGUAGAUGGUGUUGAGUGA
Molecule: long non-coding RNA, 539 nt
Organism: Tripterygium wilfordii
Lineage: Eukaryota; Viridiplantae; Streptophyta; Magnoliopsida; Celastrales; Celastraceae
Exons: 2
Source: RefSeq, a predicted model, not a curated record